GUGCUCGCUUCGGCAGCACAUAUACUAAAAUUGGAACAAUACAGAGAAGAUUAGCAUGGCCCAUGCACAAGGAUGACAUGCAAAUUUGUGAAGUGUUCCAUAUUUCA
This 107-nucleotide small nuclear RNA is filed under the name Notechis scutatus (mainland tiger snake). Lineage: Eukaryota; Metazoa; Chordata; Lepidosauria; Squamata; Elapidae. The record is from RNAcentral.